Molecule: long non-coding RNA, 456 nt
Organism: Hibiscus syriacus
Lineage: Eukaryota; Viridiplantae; Streptophyta; Magnoliopsida; Malvales; Malvaceae
Exons: 5
Source: RefSeq, a predicted model, not a curated record
UAUGAAGUUGGAGUGUUACAUCACAUAUGAAUGUUUGGAUAUUGAUCCGGUGAUUUAGAGUUGGCCUCUUAUUGAAUGAGUUUGAUUUAAGAUCUCUUUCUUGACUUCGGCUAGUUCUGUUUUCUUUUCUUUUUUCUUUUUGCUUUGGUGUUUAACGGCCGCUCAGACUUGAAAUUAAGAGGAAACUUGCUCAAAGAUCAGAGAGAGUAAAAUCUGUAGAUCUCCAUCCCACUGAACCAUGGAUUCUAGCUAGUUUGUUCUGGAACUCUGUGUAUCUUGAACUAGCAGUCACAGACCAUGGCUAAGUGAUUUGAGGUCACUGAGUUGCCAGUUAGGUCGGCCAAUUUAUUGCACGCAAACAAUGGGUUGUUGCUGGAGCUGAUGACAUGUUUAUUCGUGUAUACAAUUACAACACCAUGGAUAAGGUCAAAGUAUUUGAGGCACUGAUUACAUUAG